Molecule: long non-coding RNA, 1147 nt
Filed under: Sus scrofa (pig)
Lineage: Eukaryota; Metazoa; Chordata; Mammalia; Artiodactyla; Suidae
Description: lncRNA (ENSSSCG00040018641.1)
Source: RNAcentral
AUGUAUCUGAUCAGCACAAGCCAAAGAUUGCCCACAUGCGGCCGGGGAGCCUUGGGGCCGGCGGUGUGUGAGUGGCACAAACCCCCGCAGAGGGAGGGUUCUCGUUCAGCAGGUUCACUUCUGAGAAUCCACCAAAGUGAGGUCAAAAGCAGCGCUCGAAAACUUGAGUUCCAUGCUGUUUGCCUCCAAGUGCCUCCCAAGGAGAAAGCUGGUCAAUUCAUCGUGGCAGGUACAGACAACGGGACAGGUACAGACAAUGGGACAUCUAAGGACAAGGGGACAGGUACAGACAAUGGCCCAGGUAAGGACAAUGGGACAGGUAAGGACAACGGGACAGGUGUGGAGAACGGGACAUCUAAGGACAACGGGACAGGUACGGACAAUGGGACAGGUACUGUGACAAUGGGACAGGUACAGACAAUGGGACAUCUAAGGACAAUGGGACAGGUACUGUGACAAUGGGACAGGUACAGACAACGGGACAGGUGUGGAGAACGGGACAGGUGUGGACAGCAGGACACGAUGCCAGUGAGGAAAAGGGCACAGAGUUCUUCUGAACGACACGAGACGGUCUCCAAGAAACAGAAUUAAGCUGGAAAGAACAGUGCACCACCCAAGUGUGGGCUGCGGUGUCUAUUUCCCUCCAAAGAGAACAGGAUGCAAAGGGGAGAAAGAGGAACCUGAGCUCUGCAUGCUCAGGAAUCCGGGGGGAUGGGCAGAGCCCUGGGACUCGGCUGGGCGGCCAACAGUGCGCCGGCAACCUGGCCAUCGCUCAAGUUCCUUUGUGGUGACCCAGUCAGGAGCACAGUGUCUGGGGAGCUGGACCAGAGCAGUCCGGAGGGCGAACAGCCAACCCCACAUCACCAACGUGCACCUUCCUGGGGUCCUUUCACUGUAAACCCACAGCGAAGCAUCCUGGGAAAAUCUCAGAACCUCGGCAAAUCCGUGCACACGUGGCCCUCAUGCCAGACCUCCGAGAGGCCGAGACUCCUGCUCAGAUCCCAUCCACCCUCUCACCGAGCCGCCUCCCCCGCAACUGGCUGGGGCUACCGGCAGGCCGGGAGCAGGAGAAGCCCUGGCGGCCUCGCUCUGCAGGACGUUAGUCUCAUGAGAGGAGCAAAUGAAGCCGGAUGCCCACUGCCCAGGG